AUCCUGGCUCAGGAUGAACGCUAGCGGCAGGCUUAACACAUGCAAGUCGAGGGUAUAGUUCUUCGGAAUUAGAGACCGGCGCACGGGUGCGUAACGCGUAUGCAAUCUACCUUUCACAGAGGGAUAGCCCAGAGAAAUUUGGAUUAAUACCUCAUAGUAUAGCAGUUUCGCAUGAAACCACUAUUAAAGUCACAACGGUGAAAGAUGAGCAUGCGUCCCAUUAGCUAGUUGGUAAGGUAACGGCUUACCAAGGCAACGAUGGGUAGGGGUCCUGAGAGGGAGAUCCCCCACACUGGUACUGAGACACGGACCAGACUCCUACGGGAGGCAGCAGUGAGGAAUAUUGGACAAUGGGCGCAAGCCUGAUCCAGCCAUGCCGCGUGCAGGAUGACGGUCCUAUGGAUUGUAAACUGCUUUUAUACAGGAAGAAACACUACUUCGUGAAGUAGCUUGACGGUACUGUAAGAAUAAGGAUCGGCUAACUCCGUG
This 489-nucleotide ribosomal RNA is filed under the name uncultured bacterium. RNAcentral's name for it is "bacterial SSU rRNA". It matches the Rfam family "Bacterial small subunit ribosomal RNA", at positions 16 to 507 of the family's 1533-position model. The record is from RNAcentral.